Molecule: ribosomal RNA, 1013 nt
Filed under: uncultured bacterium
Lineage: Bacteria
Description: bacterial SSU rRNA
Rfam family: Bacterial small subunit ribosomal RNA
Source: RNAcentral
AGAGUUUGAUCCUGGCUCAGGAUGAACGCUAGCGGCAGGCUUAACACAUGCAAGUCGAGGGGCAGCGGGAGUAGCAAUACUUGCCGGCGACCGGCGCAAGGGUGCGUAACGCGUGAGCAACAUGCCCGUAUCAGGGGGAUAAUCCAGGGAAACUUGGUCUAAUACCCCAUAGUAAUCUUAGGAGGCAUCUUUUAAGAUUUAAAGCUUUGGUGGAUACGGAUUGGCUCGCGUGACAUUAGCUAGAUGGUAGGUAACGGCCUACCAUGGCUACGAUGUCUAGGGGUUCUGAGAGGAAGAUCCCCCACACUGGAACUGAGACACGGUCCAGACUCCUACGGGAGGCAGCAGUGAGGAAUAUUGGACAAUGGAUGGAAAUCUGAUCCAGCCAUGCCGCGUGCAGGAAGACUGCCCUAUGGGUUGUAAACUGCUUUUGUAUGGGAGCAAUAAGCCCUUCGUGAAGGGUGAUGAGAGUACCAUACGAAUAAGCAUCGGCUAACUCCGUGCCAGCAGCCGCGGUAAUACGGAGGAUGCAAGCGUUAUCCGGAUUCACUGGGUUUAAAGGGUGCGUAGGUGGAUUGGUAAGUCAGUGGUGAAAUCUCCGAGCUUAACUUGGAAACUGCCAUUGAUACUAUCAAUCUUGAAUAUUGUGGAGGUCAGCGGAAUAUGUCAUGUAGCGGUGAAAUGCUUAGAUAUGACAUAGAACACCAAUUGCGAAGGCAGCUGACUACGCAUAUAUUGACACUGAGGCACGAAAGCGUGGGGAUCAAACAGGAUUAGAUACCCUGGUAGUCCACGCCCUAAACUAUGGAUACUCGACAUUAGCGAUACACUGUUAGUGUCUGAGCGAAAGCAUUAAGUAUCCCACCUGGGAAGUACGAUCGCAAGAUUGAAACUCAAAGGAAUUGACGGGGGUCUGCACAAGCGGUGGAGCAUGUGGUUUAAUUCGACGCAACGCGAAGAACCUUACCAGGCCUUGACAUGCCGUGCUACCGCCAGAGAUGGCGGUCUUCGGA